UACGUAGGUCCCGAGCGUUGUCCGGAUUUAUUGGGCGUAAAGCGAGCGCAGGUGGUUUAUUAAGUCUAGUGUAAAAGGCAGUGGCUCAACCAUUGUAUGCAUUGGAAACUGGUAGACUUGAGUGCAGGAGAGGAGAGUGGAAUUCCAUGUGUGGCGGUGAAAUGCGUAGAUAUAUGGAGGAACACCGGUGGCGAAAGCGGCUCUCUGGCCUGUAACUGACACUGAGGCUCGAAAGCGUGGGGAGCAAACAGG
Molecule: ribosomal RNA, 252 nt
Filed under: uncultured bacterium
Lineage: Bacteria
Description: partial 16S ribosomal RNA
Rfam family: Bacterial small subunit ribosomal RNA
Source: RNAcentral